AAAGUAGGUCAGGUGAUCGCGUUCCGACGUGUCGGAAUGAGGAAAGUCCGAACUCCAUAGGGCAGGAUGGUCCGUAACACGGACUCGUUGUGAAACGGGGAAAGUGCCACAGAAAACAAACAUUCCACCCCCGGUGGAUUAAGGUGAAAAGGCGAGGUAAGAGCUCACCGCUUCUGUGGUGACACAGAAGGCAUGGUAAACCCCAUCUGGAGCAAGACCAAAUAGGAGGGAAAAGGCUGCCCGCCUUGUCUGACCCUCGGGUAGGUCGCUCGAGAUUGUCGGCAACGACAAUCCCAGAUAAAUGAUCACCCGCUCGAGUGAUCGAGUGACAGAAUUCGGCUUAUCGACUUGCUUUGCUA
Molecule: RNase P RNA, 359 nt
Filed under: Candidatus Zhuqueibacterota bacterium
Lineage: Bacteria; Pseudomonadati
Description: candidate division KSB1 bacterium (microbial mat metagenome) RNase P RNA component class A
Rfam family: Bacterial RNase P class A
About the family: Ribonuclease P (RNase P) is a ubiquitous endoribonuclease, found in archaea, bacteria and eukarya as well as chloroplasts and mitochondria. Its best characterised activity is the generation of mature 5'-ends of tRNAs by cleaving the 5'-leader elements of precursor-tRNAs.
Source: RNAcentral